GGAGGCAGGGUGCAUUCGUCUAUAUCAACGCAUUGCUCCCCUCGUUUCUGAUAGCCUGGAGGACACUGGCAGCUGAAGGACCCUCUGAGAUUGACACACACUUGGUCAGCUCUGCAGUUAUGAGUUCCUGUAGCACAUUCAUCUAUAUCUUGGCACACAUUGUGCUCACUUUGCUCAUACCCAGCUGCACACUGAAUUUGAUGAGUUGGGUUUGGAGGGGCACGGUGAGGAUCAGCUGGAGUCCGGCGAAUGACGUUGUUUCGACCACUAGUGGAUUCAGCUGCUGCUUCUUCUCGUUCAUUUACAAUAAUUUGGGCUGUUCUAGGUAGACAGAGGUAUCCUCCAUAGUGGUUAACACAUUUCAUCCCACCUUUACAUGCAUCUGGGACUAUUUCACAUUCAUCAAUAUCUUUGCACCGCUGCCUAACAGGAUCCCAUUCAUAGCCAUCUGUGCAUUGCGUGUACGUUAUGGUUUCCUCAGUUUCCUGUGAAUGUACUGUAAUAAGAAUGAGAGCAGCCAAGAACAUAGCUGUCAACAUCAUGAACCUGGGCACCGCGGCCAGCACGCAGCCCCUUCCUGAGCGGCAGCUGAGGGGAAGCCCUGGCAGCGCGGCCAGCCCGCUGCGCCCGAUCCAGCUGCGGCGGGGCCGGGGCGGCUGCUCCCGGCGGCACGCUACCGCGGCGGCUCGGCCCCGUCCGUCCGCUGGCUCCGCUGCGGUGCCGGCACCCGCUCCCCCCCCCGGGCCUUCA
RNAcentral lists this long non-coding RNA (750 nucleotides) under Gallus gallus (chicken). The record is from RNAcentral. Lineage: Eukaryota; Metazoa; Chordata; Aves; Galliformes; Phasianidae.